RNAcentral lists this unclassified non-coding RNA (198 nucleotides) under uncultured Agaricomycetes. Its description in RNAcentral is "sequence contains ITS2". The record is from RNAcentral. Lineage: Eukaryota; Fungi; Basidiomycota; Agaricomycetes.
AAUUCUCAAAUCAUCAGGUUUAUUCUUGGUGAUCUUGGUCUUGGGCGUUGUUGGAUGGCUUGCCGUUCAACUCGUCCGAAAUGUAUUAGCUGGGCUUACGACUUGUUAGUCUACCUUUGAUGUGAUAAGUAUUGAUCGUCACUGGUACAAAGUUGAAGUCUGCUUCUAAUCGUCUCUCGUAGACAAACAUACUUGACA